Phrynosoma platyrhinos (Desert horned lizard) is the source of this 72-nucleotide non-coding RNA. The record is from the annotation of a GenBank genome assembly. Lineage: Eukaryota; Metazoa; Chordata; Lepidosauria; Squamata; Phrynosomatidae.
GCCAGUGUGGUAUAGUGGUUUGGGCACUGGACCAUGACUUUGGAGACCAGGGUUUGAAUCCCUGCUUGGGCA